UGGCUCUCUAUGGAAUAAUCGCAGUCAACUGAGAGAGCCCUCAGCAAGCUUGCCUUCCAAAUUCCUCUGUAGAACGGAGAGCGAAAUUACUAGAUGGUAUUAAAUACCCUGCAGCAUAUGGAUAUGCGUUAUUUUGUGAGGUGAUAUAUGUGAAUGUGAGGAUGGCGAGUGUGGAUGAGGGGAGACGAGAUAUAAAUAACGGAUAUUGAGCCACCCCCGGUGGUGUAGUUAAUCGAGCCCGACGCUCAGAGCUCGCAUAUUCAUGCAAAAAUGCUUGGAUGUGCAUGGACUUGACUAUUCCUGACGAAUACGUGAGGAUCUGAUGCCAGGAAUAACAACGGUAUUCAGACCGGCAUUUUUUUAAACGAUCGAUCGAGGCGUUUAGUUUGCGGGAUUCCAAGGACCAAGGUUUGUUGCAAUACUUCAACCAAUGCUGAAAAUGAAUUUAUUCUUUUAGAAAAUCAAGUAAAUUUAUUUGGUAAUUUUUCUGAUUAUUUUUCACCACUGGUAUCCUGCCCUCUUGGUGAAGCAACUCACUUCCAAUUUUCAAACUUAUGAUAAAAUUUUGGGCCUCAGUGAGCUCUAAACUUUCUCGAAAACUGAAGAGGAGUAAAUAAGAAAAAAAAUCAUGGCUAGAGAAAAUCACCGCAGUGCGAAAUUAGUGCGCAUCAACUUCGUGUUUUGAAAUGCAUUGGAGGAACUGGACCGCAUCUAUGGUAAGUAUGCUCCAAGCGACGAGCGUGAGGCACUCCGCUGUGGUUUCCUAUCAUCGCGAAUCAGGGAAUCUAGCAAACAACUUUCGAAUAAACUGACCGACUCCUUUUGUUCAGUGAAGAAUUGAGGGAAAACCCUAAGACGAAAUGUUAAACUUGAAUUCCAAUUAGGACUCUUCAAAAUUCUUUCACUUACACGACGAACCAACGAAAAAUCGAAGAACGAUUGGUCAUUUACACCAAUUAUUCUCAAUUAAGUACACCUUAAUUCUCCAGAAUUUCCCCCCUCUUGGAUUUUUACCGGAGCGAACUGGACUUUUGCCAAAAUCGAAAGUUUCACUCCGGGUACGUUAUUUUCCGCUUCUGUGAGCCCCCUGGAUGCCAAUGAGACAAUUAAAUGAUUUUUUAGAUCAUCAUCUUUCAGCGCACGACUAUGAUUGAACGCACACCAGUAACCACUACAUCUGACACCUUUUUGUAACGGCGUAGGACGAUCAUCGAACUGUUACAUCAUCGUAGCGGCAGAGGCGCGUAACAUGCAAAGGAAAAAUGCAUUAGCCGGAGAUUAAUUAAACCAAGGAAGCACCCCUAGCCAUAGAGAUGGUUGGCGAGGUAUUUCAUCCCCUCUGGCUCGAUACUAUAUCAACACUCCAUUCGUGGAUGCUACAACAGGCAGGUGUAGAAGGAAAAACGAUGGUUUUACUCAAUCCUCUCUCUUUUUAUUUCAAAUGGAGAGUAAUAUGCCGUUAACAGUAAUAAGAUUAUGAUAAUAAUACAGUUUUAGAGCGUGAUUUUCCGUCAAUCGUUUUACAUCCCUGCAACGUGAAAUAACCCGUCUGGUGCAGUAUGUCGGGCUUCUCGCACCCGGCGCGGCGUGCAGAAGCACUUGAAAGAUAAAAAUGUUAUUAUUUUCCCUCAGUGCUUACUCCUAACUCUGUGUCAAAGCUGCAAGACUUUACGACUAUUUAACAGGUCAUUAUGUUAAUGAAAUCACGAGUGGCUGGAUUUAAAAAGUUGGGAUCAGUCAAUCCGUUAGAUGAAUAAAUUAAAUUUUUAGUAACUGUCACUUAGGAAAAAUUCACGCGGGCUUCAUUGAAAAACUGAUUUGUUUUUUCCUAUCGAUGAUUAAAUCACUGAAAGCUCACGCUAAUGAAAGCUAAUUUUAAUAAAUGCUCUUUAACCAUUCCAAAGUGGUUGUCCUAAUUACACAAUGGGAUUAUGCAUCCCCAUAUUAAAGUAUACUCAAUUCAGUUACCGUUAUAAUUAAACAUAGAAAAAAAACAUGGAAAGUGCAUUUAUAAGCAACCACCACACUCUGGCCAGGAGACGUUCCGAAGAAAAAAAAACACAAUAGAUGACGGAGAUCCCUUCCUGUUCCGUCACA
This is a long non-coding RNA of Diachasmimorpha longicaudata, 2097 nucleotides long. RefSeq lists it as uncharacterized. The transcript is spliced from 3 exons. Lineage: Eukaryota; Metazoa; Arthropoda; Insecta; Hymenoptera; Braconidae. The record is from RefSeq and is a predicted model, not a curated record.